This is a ribosomal RNA of 399 nucleotides. It matches the Rfam family "Archaeal large subunit ribosomal RNA", at positions 1999 to 2666 of the family's 2987-position model.
UAUGAAUGGCCGCGGUACCCUGACCGUGCUAAGGUAGCGUAAUCAGUUGGCUUUUAAAUGGAGUCAGGAAUGAAUGGGAUAACUGGGUUUAACUGUCUCCUAAUUAAUAUAUUGAAUUUACUGUUCAAGUGAAAAAGCUUGAGGGAGGAAAAAAGACGAGAAGACCCUUAGAAUUUUGUUUAAUAGGAACUUAAAGUAUUGUUUCUUUUGAUUUUGUUGGGGCGACAGAGAAGAAUUUUCAAACCUUCUUUAUUAAAUCAGCCGAUCUUAUUAAGAAAGAAUAAAUUACCUGAGGGAUAACAGCAUAAUUUUAUAGAAGAGUUUGUGACCUCGAUGUUGGACUAGGAAACUGGCAGAUUAGCCAUUUGUCGUGUUGGUUCUGUUCGAACUUUAAUUCCU